Molecule: non-coding RNA, 112 nt
Organism: Acanthosepion pharaonis
Lineage: Eukaryota; Metazoa; Mollusca; Cephalopoda; Sepiida; Sepiidae
Source: the annotation of a GenBank genome assembly
UUGCGACCGUAUCACGUUGAAACACCGGUUCUCCUACGAUCGUCGAAGUUAAGCAACGUUGGGCCUGGUCAGUACCUAGAUGGGUGCGGUUGGGAAUACCAGGUGCUGUAAG